Molecule: transfer RNA, 71 nt
Filed under: Actinomycetospora sp. NBRC 106375
Lineage: Bacteria; Bacillati; Actinomycetota; Actinomycetes; Pseudonocardiales; Pseudonocardiaceae
Description: tRNA-Arg
Source: RNAcentral
GCAUCUGGGGGCACCCGGUCGCCCGGCCUCCGGAGGCGGGAGCGCAGGUUCGAAUCCUGCCGGGGGCACCA